Molecule: transfer RNA, 73 nt
Filed under: Tepidisphaera mucosa
Lineage: Bacteria; Pseudomonadati; Planctomycetota; Phycisphaerae; Tepidisphaerales; Tepidisphaeraceae
Also listed under: 5 other names
Description: tRNA-Val
Rfam family: tRNA
About the family: Transfer RNA (tRNA) molecules are approximately 80 nucleotides in length. Their secondary structure includes four short double-helical elements and three loops (D, anti-codon, and T loops). Further hydrogen bonds mediate the characteristic L-shaped molecular structure. tRNAs have two regions of fundamental functional importance: the anti-codon, which is responsible for specific mRNA codon recognition, and the 3' end, to which the tRNAs corresponding amino acid is attached (by aminoacyl-tRNA synthetases). tRNAs cope with the degeneracy of the genetic code in two manners: having more than one tRNA (with a specific anti-codon) for a particular amino acid; and 'wobble' base-pairing, i.e. permitting non-standard base-pairing at the 3rd anti-codon position.
Source: RNAcentral
GGGCGAUUAACUCAGCGGCUAGAGUACCUCGUUUACACCGAGGGAGUCGGGGGUUCGAAUCCCUCAUCGCCCA